This 464-nucleotide ribosomal RNA is filed under the name uncultured bacterium. Its description in RNAcentral is "partial 16S ribosomal RNA". It matches the Rfam family "Bacterial small subunit ribosomal RNA", at positions 339 to 795 of the family's 1533-position model. The record is from RNAcentral.
CUACGGGAUGCUGCAGUGGGGAAUAUUGCACAAUGGGCGCAAGCCUGAUGCAGCCAUGCCGCGUGUAUGAAGAAGGCCUUCGGGUUGUAAAGUACUUUCAGCGGGGAGGAAGGGAGUAAAGUUAAUACCUUUGCUCAUUGACGUUACCCGCAGAAGAAGCACCGGCUAACUCCGUGCCAGCAGCCGCGGUAAUACGGAGGGUGCAAGCGUUAAUCGGAAUUACUGGGCGUAAAGCGCACGCAGGCGGUUUGUUAAGUCAGAUGUGAAAUCCCCGGGCUCAACCUGGGAACUGCAUCUGAUACUGGCAAGCUUGAGUCUCGUAGAGGGGGGUAGAAUUCCAGGCGUAGCGGUGAAAUGCGUAGAGAUCUGGAGGAAUACCGGUGGCGAAGGCGGCCCCCUGGACGAAGACUGAUGCUCAGGUGCGAAAGCGUGGGGAGCAAACAGGAUUAGAUACCCGCGUAGUC